UACGGAGAAGGCAAGCGUUACCCGGAAUUAUUGGGCGUAAAGAGCUCGUAGGCGGUCCUUCAAGUCGAAAGUGAAAUCUCAGGGCUUAACCCUGAAAUUGCUUUCGAUACUGGCGGACUUGAGGCAGGUAGGGGAAGGUGGAAUUCCUGGUGUAGCGGUGAAAUGCGCAGAUAUCAGGAGGAACACCAGUGGCGAAGGCGGCCUUCUGGGCCUGUACUGACGCUGAGGAGCGAAAGCGUGGGGAGCGAACAGG
Molecule: unclassified non-coding RNA, 253 nt
Filed under: uncultured Euzebyales bacterium
Lineage: Bacteria; Bacillati; Actinomycetota; Nitriliruptoria; Euzebyales
Description: contains 16S-23S intergenic spacer region
Rfam family: Bacterial small subunit ribosomal RNA
Source: RNAcentral